RNAcentral lists this ribosomal RNA (719 nucleotides) under Minanapis talinay. RNAcentral's name for it is "SSU rRNA". It matches the Rfam family "Eukaryotic small subunit ribosomal RNA", at positions 407 to 1130 of the family's 1831-position model. The record is from RNAcentral. Lineage: Eukaryota; Metazoa; Arthropoda; Arachnida; Araneae; Anapidae.
CUACCACAUCCAAGGAAGGCAGCAGGCGCGCAAAUUACCCACUCCCAGAUCGGGGAGGUAGUGACGAAAAAUAACAAUACGGGACUCUUUUGAGACCCCGUAAUUGGAAUGAGUACACUCCAAAUACUUGUUCGAAAAUCUAUUGGAGGGCAAGCCAGGUGCCAGCCGCUGCGGUAAUUCCUGCUCCAAUAGCGUAUAUUAAAGUUGUUGCGGUUAAAAAGCUCGUAGUUGGAUCUCAGUUCCAGACGGGUGGUCCGCCUACCGGUGGUUACUGCCUGUUCUGAACAGCCCGCCGGUUUCCUUUGAUGAUCUUCAUCGGUUGUCUUUGGUGACCGGCAAGUUUACUUUGAAAAAAUUAGAGUGCUCAAAGCAGGCGUGACGCCUGAAUAAUGGUGCAUGGAAUAAUGGAAUAGGACCUCGGUUCUAUUUUGUUGGUUUUCGGAACACGAGGUAAUGAUUAAGAGGGACAGACGGGGGCAUUCGUAUUGCGACGCUAGAGGUGAAAUUCUUGGACCGUCGCAAGACGAACUACUGCGAAAGCAUUUGCCAAGAAUGUUUCCAUUAAUCAAGAACGAAAGUUAGAGGUUCGAAGGCGAUCAGAUACCGCCCUAGUUCUAACCAUAAACGAUGCCAGCCAGCGAUCCGGCUGUGUUCCUCAAAUGACACGCCGGGAAGCUUCCGGGAAACCAAAGCUUUUGGGUUCCGGGGGAAGUAUGGUU